This 29-nucleotide non-coding RNA is filed under the name Homo sapiens (human). Lineage: Eukaryota; Metazoa; Chordata; Mammalia; Primates; Hominidae. The record is from RNAcentral.
UGGAACUGACACAUAGUUGGCACUGGCAA